RNAcentral lists this non-coding RNA (29 nucleotides) under Mus musculus (house mouse). The record is from RNAcentral. Lineage: Eukaryota; Metazoa; Chordata; Mammalia; Rodentia; Muridae.
UGAGAAGUAACUGGUGCCGUGGCUGCACA